UUUAUCUUGGUGUAAGUAGCACGUAAAAUUUUGAUAUUUAAGGUAUUAAUUAGAU
RNAcentral lists this transfer RNA (55 nucleotides) under Pseudoniphargus gomerae. Its description in RNAcentral is "tRNA-Gln". Lineage: Eukaryota; Metazoa; Arthropoda; Malacostraca; Amphipoda; Allocrangonyctidae. The record is from RNAcentral.